GAUGAACGCUAGCUACAGGCUUAACACAUGCAAGUCGAGGGGCAGCAUGAACUUAGCUUGCUAAGUUUGAUGGCGACCGGCGCACGGGUGAGUAACACGUAUCCAACCUGCCGAUGACUCGGGGAUAGCCUUGCGAAAGUAAGAUUAAUACCCGGCGGUCUCGGAUGGCCGCAUGACUAUCCGAGUGAAGAUUUAUCGGUAUGAGAUGGCGAUGCGUCCCAUUAGCUAGUUGGUGAGGUAAUGGCUCACCAAGGCAUCGAUGGGUAGGGGUUCUGAGAGGAAGGUCCCCCACAUUGGAACUGAGACACGGUCCAAACUCCUACGGGAGGCAGCAGUGAGGAAUAUUGGUCAAUGGACGAAAGUCUGAACCAGCCAAGUAGCGUGCAGGAAGACGGCCCUCUGGGUUGUAAACUGCUUUUAGUUGGGAAUAAAAAGAGGGACGUGUCCCUUAUUGUAUGUACCAUCAGAAAAAGGACCGGCUAAUUCCGUGCCAGCAGCCGCGGUAAUACGGAAGGUCCAGGCGUUAUCCGGAUUUAUUGGGUUUAAAGGGAGCGCAGGCGGCGGCGUAAGUCAGUUGUGAAAUCGUGCGGCUUAACCGUGCAAUUGCAGUUGAUACUGCGUCGCUUGAGUGCACACAGGGAUGUUGGAAUUCAUGGUGUAGCGGUGAGAUGCUUAGAUAUCAUGAAGAACUCCGAUCGCGAAGGCAUAUGUCCGGAGUGCAACUGACGCUGAGGCUCGAAAGUGUGGGUAUCAAACAGG
This 759-nucleotide ribosomal RNA is filed under the name uncultured bacterium. RNAcentral's name for it is "bacterial SSU rRNA". It matches the Rfam family "Bacterial small subunit ribosomal RNA", at positions 28 to 776 of the family's 1533-position model. The record is from RNAcentral.